This 800-nucleotide ribosomal RNA is filed under the name uncultured Neocallimastigales. RNAcentral describes it as "partial large subunit ribosomal RNA". It matches the Rfam family "Eukaryotic large subunit ribosomal RNA", at positions 22 to 643 of the family's 3401-position model. The record is from RNAcentral. Lineage: Eukaryota; Fungi; Neocallimastigomycota; Neocallimastigomycetes; Neocallimastigales.
UUGUGUAUCAGUACAUGGCAUAUCAAUAAGCGGAGGAAAAGAAAACUAACUAGGAUUCCCUUAGUAACGGCGAGUGAAGCGGGAAGAGCUCAAAUUUGAAAUCUUCAAGGGUUUUCCCUUGACGAAUUGUAGUUUUAAAGAAGUGUUUUUCUGUUAGAGAGGUGGUAAAAAGUUCUUUGGAAUAGGACAUCAUAGAGGGUGAGAAUCCCGUAUUUGAUCACUUUCUACUAACGUUGUGAUACACUUUCAAAGAGUCGGAUUGUUUUGGGAAUGCAGUCCAAAAAUGGGUGGUAAAUUUCAUCUAAAGCUAAAUACUGGCGAGAGGACCGAUAGCGAAACAAGUACCGUAAGGGAAAGAUGAAAAGAAACUUUGAAAAGAGAGUUAAAACAGUACGUGAAAUUGUCAAAAGGGAAGCGUUUUGACACCAGUGUUGUUUUUCUCGAAAAUCAAUUAAAAAAUGGUGGGAUUUUUGUGUUGUAUUGACUUUAUCAGCUUUCUGCACUUUUUUUCUUGUCUUUUUUUAAUGCACUUUUUCGUUUAAACAAGUCAACAUCAGUUUUCUUUUGUUGUAAAAAGGGUCAUUGGAAGGUGGCUUCCUUUUCGGAGAAAGUGUUUUAUAGCCUUUGGCCUCUGCAAUCGGAGAGAUUGAGGUCUGCAGCGUAGAUCCUUCGGGGUUAGAUACAUUUGUGCUAAGCUAUAGCCUUUCAUAGACAACUUGUUGACUAUGCUCAGUCCAUGUAGCUUACUCGCUUAUGCUAUUUUUACCUACGCUUAGGAUGUUGACUGAUAUGUAGUCGUA